UGAGGAAUAUUGGUCAAUGGGCGAGAGCCUGAACCAGCCAAGUAGCGUGCAGGAUGACGGCCCUCUGGGUUGUAAACUGCUUUUAUGUGGGGAUAAAGUGCGUGACGUGUCAUGCAUUGCAGGUACCACAUGAAUAAGGACCGGCUAAUUCCGUGCCAGCAGCCGCGGUAAUACGGAAGGUCCGGGCGUUAUCCGGAUUUAUUGGGUUUACAGGGAGCGUAGGCUGUCUAUUAAGCGUGUUGUGAAAUUUACCGGCUCAACCGGUGGCUUGCAGCGCGAACUGGUCGACUUGAGUAUGCAGGAAGUAGGCGGAAUUCAUGGUGUAGCGGUGAAAUGCUUAGAUAUCAUGACGAACUCCGAUUGCGCAGGCAGCUUACUGUAGCAUAACUGACGCUGAUGCUCGAAAGUGCGGGUAUCAAACAGG
RNAcentral lists this ribosomal RNA (424 nucleotides) under Fusobacteriota bacterium. RNAcentral's name for it is "Fusobacteria bacterium partial 16S ribosomal RNA". It matches the Rfam family "Bacterial small subunit ribosomal RNA", at positions 355 to 776 of the family's 1533-position model. Lineage: Bacteria; Fusobacteriati; Fusobacteriota. The record is from RNAcentral.